GAUGAACGCUGGCGGCGUGCCUAAUACAUGCAAGUCGAGCGAACGGACGAGAAGCUUGCUUCUCUGAUGUUAGCGGCGGACGGGUGAGUAACACGUGGAUAACCUACCUAUAAGACUGGGAUAACUUCGGGAAACCGUAGCUAAUACCGGAUAAUAUUUUGAACCGCAUGGUUCAAAAGUGAAAGACGGUCUUGCUGUCACUUAUAGAUGGAUCCGCGCUGCAUUAGCUAGUUGGUAAGGUAACGGCUUACCAAGGCAACGAUGCAUAGCCGACCUGAGAGGGUGAUCGGCCACACUGGAACUGAGACACGGUCCAGACUCCUACGGGAGGCAGCAGUAGGGAAUCUUCCGCAAUGGGCGAAAGCCUGACGGAGCAACGCCGCGUGAGUGAUGAAGGUCUUCGGAUCGUAAAACUCUGUUAUUAGGGAAGAACAUAUGUGUAAGUAACUGUGCACAUCUUGACGGUACCUAAUCAGAAAGCCACGGCUAACUAC
This 494-nucleotide ribosomal RNA is filed under the name uncultured bacterium. RNAcentral's name for it is "partial 16S ribosomal RNA". It matches the Rfam family "Bacterial small subunit ribosomal RNA", at positions 28 to 504 of the family's 1533-position model. The record is from RNAcentral.